Molecule: long non-coding RNA, 366 nt
Filed under: Brassica rapa (field mustard)
Lineage: Eukaryota; Viridiplantae; Streptophyta; Magnoliopsida; Brassicales; Brassicaceae
Description: long non-coding RNA (BRAP_LNC006607)
Source: RNAcentral
UGAGUUUCAAAUAAAUUCAAAAAUAAUAAAUUAACAAAAAAAAAUAUUUAAAUAAAAAUGAGAAAAUAAAUAAUUCUUCAAAAAAUCUUCUUUUUUUAAAAAGAGUUUUUUUUCUUAAACUAAAAACAUUCAAAUAAGUUUUAUAAAUUGUCUGAAAACAUUCGGAUUGGUUGUUUUCGGAUUUGGGUUUUUAGAUCUUAGACAUUUAGAAAUAACUAGAUAUUUGAAAUUUUUUGGUUCGGGUUCGGGUUCGGGUUCGGAUUGGUUUUUUUCUGGAUUUAGGUAGGUUCGAAAUUUUUUGAAUCUUAGAAAUUUAAAUCUAACUAGAUACUUGUAAUUUUCGGAUCUAUAGCAAGUGGGUCAGAU